GAUGUCGAGAUACCUGGAGAUGUAGAGUUUCAAUAUGAAAUCAUCUGUCCGUCUUCGAGUUCUUGCCGCCAUCAUCUCCCAACUUCUCUAUUUCUGAUUACUCAAACUUUGGGGAUCAAAGCAAUAUUUGCUUUAAGCUGUUUCGUAAUGUCAAAUACAAAACCAGAAGCCAGUGGCGUGGCUAGUAUUCUCACAUUUGUACCUCUGUUACGCUUACUUUAAAUUGUUUAUUCUAAAGGCCCGACUUUGUUUUUUUUUUUUAGCUACAGCCCACACCCCUUGUAAAGGAUGCUGGGAAUUUAGCCCUUUUAAUGCAAAUUAAUUGCAAUUGCAAAAAAUAAAACAAUAAAAAAAGACUAGACUUGACUGACAAGCAGUAGAAAUUCGCUGA
RNAcentral lists this unclassified non-coding RNA (391 nucleotides) under Hevea brasiliensis (rubber tree). The record is from RNAcentral. Lineage: Eukaryota; Viridiplantae; Streptophyta; Magnoliopsida; Malpighiales; Euphorbiaceae.